Long non-coding RNA from Homarus americanus (American lobster), 991 nucleotides. RefSeq lists it as uncharacterized. The record is from RefSeq and is a predicted model, not a curated record. The transcript has 3 exons. NCBI's taxonomy places the organism in Eukaryota, Metazoa, Arthropoda, Malacostraca, Decapoda, Nephropidae.
GUGGACACAGGACCAGGUGAACACGGUGGUGAAGAUGACCACUGCUGAACACGACACACUCAAGGGGCCUGAGCCCAUCUCUCUCAACCACCUUCAGGGCGCCUUCCUCAUCUUGGGCAUGGGCUACCUCUCAGCUAUUCUGGUCUUCCUGGCUCACGUCAUCCUCAGGUCCUGGUGCAAUACAGGAGACUGAUCGUCCCUAACCAGAGGUCUUCGACACCACCAUUCUCACUCGCUAACCUUACCUAACCUAACCAAAGGUGUUCCACACCACCAGUCUCACUCGCUAACCUUACCUAACCUAACCUAACUUCACUUAAACAAGGUCUAUAUAAUCUGAAAGAUUCUUAAAAUAAAACACAAAAAUACUGGCCUAAAAUAACAUCAAAUUUUAACUAAGACUAGCACCAGUUUGGAAAUAAAAAUUAAGACACAGAAUUAUUAAAAAUAUACUUUAUUUUAAUUAUGUUCCUUAACUGGUUCUACGUGAAUGUAUUUAUUUAAGGUAGAGACUCAGUCAAAAUGUAUUGUUAUUUUCAUGUACAGUCCCCUUCACUCGUGCGUUUACAGGGACUCGUCAUAUAAACAUUCCACAAAUCAUUAUCUUUGAGAUAUUUGUUUCAAUAUUGCCUUAAAUUGAUCCAUAGUUUGUUUACUAUUGCUUUUUUUCCUGCUGACGAAUGUAAACAAACAGCGUUGCCACACUGCACAAAACCUGAUGAGCCCCUGUAAACGCACGAGUGAAGGGGACUGUACGUUCGUAUAUCUUCAUUUACGAGGAUUAUUUAUCGCAAAAACCUUUCAGAAUCUUGGCCCAAAAUUAUAGAGCAAAAUUGUGAUAGAUUCAGAACUUUAUAAUCAGUUCCAUGUUCUUCUUAGGAAGAACUAUUGUAUAUUCACAACCCUGUUCAUAGUGAUUACUGUAUUAUUGUACACUCACAAUACUUAUGAUUGCAAAAUUAAUUGUUUUACACUUAUUUGAUGUCUGUGU